UGGAAAAUGUAUCACAACCAGCACCAGUCACAAACAGGAAAGAGGUGUGUUUGUCUGUGUGUGAGUGUUUGGCGGGUGCUUUGUGUCCCCACUGGCAGUACAGGAGCCUGAUGAGGUCACAAAUGCAGUAGCAGGGUAGCUAUAAGACCUCCUAGCUACCCUGUGAAUCCAGUCUUCAACUGUAACCUGUUGGUCUCAUUCUAGCCUUUGCAUUCAAACGCGAACCUGCUGGUUUAUUUCACACUCAAAAGUAUAGGCUUGCCAUUGCCCUUUGGAGGUGCAGAUUUUUGCUGUGACAAGAGUUGAAAAGACAGGACAGUAAGCGAAUAAAACAUUUAUGAGAUGAGUAGCAUAUUGACUACUAGUGAAGUCUGUAGAUGGUUUUAUGGGGUAGCUGUCGGGAUCCAGGAGAAAGAAGAUAUGCCACGUGGAUGCACCACCAUGGCUGUUUUCUAGAGCCCCAUUUGGACCUAGUUUGGACCAGUUACACCAUGCAUCUCCAAAGAAGUAUCUGGAGCGGUUCUUUCCAGGACUGUCCAACUUGAGAAUGGUGACAUUAGACUCAAUCUCAGGUUCGUCAGCCCAUGAAACACUGUCUCACAUUGUCCCAGUACUGCGAAGAAAAGCAGAAAAAAUAGCAACGUCUUUACUGUGCUUAGACCGGCCCAGAUUGGUCUAGACCAGAUCAGACUCGUCCAGACCAGAUCAGACAGGUCCAGAGCAGAUCAGACUGGUCCAGACCAGAUCAGACAGGUCCAGACCAGAUCCAGAACAAGAUGAUGCAUGGGACAGCAGCAGUAAGAAUGUACACAUGUUUUGAUAAGCAUCUACUAAUGUUUAUUAAUGUUAUAAUACAAAUGUAUUGUUUUUAAUGCUCCUACCUAAACACAUUAUAAGUACGUUCUUUUGAGACAAAAAAACGAAUAAAGCUGUAUGCAUCAAACCAUAAAUAGCCUAAAA
This is a long non-coding RNA of Oncorhynchus tshawytscha (Chinook salmon), 960 nucleotides long. NCBI's taxonomy places the organism in Eukaryota, Metazoa, Chordata, Actinopteri, Salmoniformes, Salmonidae. The record is from Ensembl.